GAUGAGCGCUAGCUACAGGCUUAACACAUGCAAGUCGAGGGGCAGCAUUUUUAUAGCAAUAUAAAAGAUGGCGACCGGCGCACGGGUGAGUAACACGUAUCCAACCUGCCGAUAACUCGGGGAUAACCCUUCGAAAGAAGGCCUAAUACCCGAUGGCAUAUCCCUUCCGCCUGGUGGGGAUAUUAAAGAACUUCGGUUAUCGAUGGGGAUGCGUUCCAUUAGUUUGUUGGCGGGUAACGGCCCACCAAGACUACGAUGGAUAGGGGUUCUGAGAGGAAGGU
RNAcentral lists this ribosomal RNA (281 nucleotides) under uncultured bacterium. RNAcentral's name for it is "partial 16S ribosomal RNA". It matches the Rfam family "Bacterial small subunit ribosomal RNA", at positions 28 to 304 of the family's 1533-position model. The record is from RNAcentral.